This is a non-coding RNA of Hypanus sabinus (Atlantic stingray), 375 nucleotides long. The record is from the annotation of a RefSeq genome assembly. NCBI's taxonomy places the organism in Eukaryota, Metazoa, Chordata, Chondrichthyes, Myliobatiformes, Dasyatidae.
AUGCCUUAUUUUCGCAAUCGGCGAAACUGUCUGAGCUCUGUCUUCUCAAGCUUUGUAUCUCCGAUAAGCUCAGGUUCACUGAGUCAGUCGGUGACUCAGAGCCCGACCAUUGUAAACGUGAAUGAAUGUCAGACUGCAACCAUCACAUGCAGUUUUCAACGUGGUUCAGCUGGUGAAUAUCGCUUUCACACGGGAAAAUUCUUCAGCCGGGCCAACUCAGCGGCCGAACGGAAAGAAGUCACUCGCGGGGGCAGAUUUGCUAUUUUGAUUAAGAAAACAGAAAUGCAGUUUUCGUUGGAAAUACGAGAUCCACAAGUGAAAGACAGCGGCACCUAUUACUGUCAAGCUGUGUACAAAUGGCGUGCAGCACAAUGA